This 604-nucleotide long non-coding RNA is filed under the name Triticum aestivum (bread wheat). Its description in RNAcentral is "long non-coding RNA (TAES_LNC015735)". Lineage: Eukaryota; Viridiplantae; Streptophyta; Magnoliopsida; Poales; Poaceae. The record is from RNAcentral.
CUGUUGAUGUGGUAAUGAGUGAUCAGACUCCACUUCAUGGUCCAUGUGAACUAACAACACCAGAUACUGUCGGGUCUAACAAGGAAAAUGUUGAUAAUAUUAACUCUGCCAUUGAGUCCUCCCAACUUACUGUGUUACGACCGCCACUUCAAGCCUACAGAUGCAGCAGUUCGUAUGGUAAUCAUUUCUGGCUCAUAUUAACAAUCAUACAUAAUGCACACAUACAUCGUACAUAGUAUAAACCUAUGUUGCUCAAGUUGUCUUGAACCUAAUUCACACUUACUAUACAGAAGAAAAACAAGCACUGAAGAGGCAGAGGGAAAAUGCCCGGUAUGAGCAACAUAAAGAAGAGAUAUUGCAAAGCCUACGUGACAAACGUCGUGCAGCCAAAUCUACAGUAGUGCUUACAACCGGAGAACAAAACCAAUCUGAUACAGGUGAUGCCAGCUACAUGAAACACUGUAUUUCUUAUAUUAGAUUUCCUAACUGAGAUUCACUCGAUGUUUCUGUAGCUGAUGAAGAUUGUGAUUGGAUCCACACAAACGAUAUGUACCAGAGACAAACCAUUGGAAGGAUGAUGAGGCGAGACAACAUAGUCACUGCG